UAGGACUUAGCAUUACGUGAACAUGUGCAGUACACACGGUGACAGAACAAAAAAAAGCCGAGCAGUUGCUGCAACUGGAGUUGAACUGAAGACCUUUCUUUAAAGUUGAACCCGCUAAGCCAUCUUUCCUAUGCUUCAUCUCGGUUCAAGUGGAUUCAAAGUAUACAUCUAUGAACAUUCAUCAGAAUUUUCAAUUAAGUGGGUUCAUUUGAAUCCUCUUGACACUCCGCCCCUAAGCCUAAGCGUUUAUCAUUCUAAUUCAAUUCAAUGAAAUGAGAUUGAACAUUUCUCUCUCUAUUUUUCUGCCUUCUUCUUCUUCUCCUCGACCUAUGCUUCUUCUUCUUUCUAUCAAUACUAGUUUAGGGUUCAUAUGAUUGUUGAAUCCUCAGAUUAUUUUAUGGUAUCAUAGCUUACAAGUUAGCAAAGCUGACUUAUAUUGCAAUUCCGCAAAUUUCUCAAAUUCAAUCAAAGUGUGCUUGACAGUUCUUGAGGAUCUGUAAAAAUGGUUGUUAAUGACGAAAAUACAACUCGGAAUGGAACUCAGAUUCCGAUUCCAAUCAAUGCAACAGGUUUGAGUACAUGACAAUCGAGCACCAUUCAUCCCCUGUUCUUGAGUCCUGGUGAUGAUCUCUUCAGUGGUAAGGUGAAAGCGAUUGGUAAAGAGAAUUGAGGAUUGUAUAUCUUGAUGGAUUCUAAUGCCAGGAAGGAUGGAAGUGUCAUACUAGCUACUCAAGAAGUUGAAGAAAACAACAUCUCAAUGUCAAAGACUGAAGAUAUUGAGUUGUGGCAUAUAAGGUUUGGGCAUGUUUCCACUACCAUUCUUAGGAAGAGUCAUGAUAUAGUUGAUUAGUUGAAUAAUGCAAUGUAUGUCCUUGUGCUAAACAAACAAGGUUGUCAUUUCUUACAAGUACAAUUUCUUCUAUAUAUUGUUUUGAUCAGUUGCAUAUGGAUUUGUGGUGUCCUUACAAAGUACCAACUGUUGAUGGCAAUAUAUUCUUUUUUUACAAUUUUUAAUGACUAGUCUAGAAUGACAUGGGUGUUCUUGUUGAAAUUAAAGUCUGAUGUAUGUGUUAUUAUUCAGCAAUUUCUCAAGUUUGUUAAAA
Lycium barbarum (goji berry) is the source of this 1103-nucleotide long non-coding RNA. RefSeq lists it as uncharacterized. The record is from RefSeq and is a predicted model, not a curated record. NCBI's taxonomy places the organism in Eukaryota, Viridiplantae, Streptophyta, Magnoliopsida, Solanales, Solanaceae. The transcript has 2 exons.